RNAcentral lists this ribosomal RNA (301 nucleotides) under unidentified cyanobacterium CL7.2_10. RNAcentral's name for it is "bacterial SSU rRNA". It matches the Rfam family "Bacterial small subunit ribosomal RNA", at positions 356 to 672 of the family's 1533-position model. The record is from RNAcentral. Lineage: Bacteria; Bacillati; Cyanobacteriota; Cyanophyceae; Chroococcales.
GGGGAAUCUUCCGCAAUGGGUGAAAGCCUGACGGAGCAAUACCGCGUGAGGGAGGAAGGCCUUUGGGUUGUAAACCUCUUUUCUCAGGGAAGAAGAUCUGACGGUACCUGAGGAAUAAGCAUCGGCUAACUCCGUGCCAGCAGCCGCGGUAAUACGGAGGAUGCAAGCGUUAUCCGGAAUUAUUGGGCGUAAAGCGUCCGCAGGUGGUCUUUCAAGUCUGCUGUCAAAGACCAGAGCUUAACUCUGGGCAGGCGGUGGAAACUGAGAGACUAGAGUUCGGUAGGGGUAGCGGGAAUUCCCA